RNAcentral lists this long non-coding RNA (352 nucleotides) under Solanum tuberosum (potato). Its description in RNAcentral is "long non-coding RNA (STUB_LNC003312)". Lineage: Eukaryota; Viridiplantae; Streptophyta; Magnoliopsida; Solanales; Solanaceae. The record is from RNAcentral.
UUAGUUGGAAAUGUGAUGAAUAAUGUUACUUUUGCUUGCGAGAAUAUCGCCGGUUGUGUGUAAGCUGCCCUGCAUUCACACUACACUUGCAAAUCAAUUUCUCGCUGUACAAAUAUUAGAGCUCAUAAAUUCAAGUCGCUAAAUGCCGAGGGAGACUGAUACUUGUCAUAGUUGUGGCAAAUUAGGGCACUGGGCAACACAAUGUCCCAACAACAACGAUUUCGUCGGAGCUGAUGGUAAGAAAUUUCGACGUUCCCUGCCCUGCCGUUGCGGCGCUGGCUCUUGCAAACUUUUCACCUCUAACACCCUUAAAAACCCUGGACGCAAUUUCUACCGCUGCCCCGCCAACGAC